This is a long non-coding RNA of Gambusia affinis (western mosquitofish), 320 nucleotides long. RefSeq lists it as uncharacterized. NCBI's taxonomy places the organism in Eukaryota, Metazoa, Chordata, Actinopteri, Cyprinodontiformes, Poeciliidae. The transcript is spliced from 3 exons. The record is from RefSeq and is a predicted model, not a curated record.
ACAGAUUCUUGAUAAGUGAAGUAUCAAGCUUACUUUCUGACAAAACACUUAAUAACAUAAAACUGCAGGGAGAACAUCAUGCAGAUGAACACCUGAGUGCUGAAAAAGUCCUGAAGUUUUGUUUCAAUUGUUGCUGUCAUGACGUCAAUGAAAAGCUUAACUUUUCUGAUCAUCUGUUUGUCUAUUUUGAUCUCACUGUGUCCUCUAAAUUCAGCAGCCAACUCUGCCAGCACCAGUUUGUGGGGAAAGAAGUUGGAGUUUAAAGGGCCUCCAUGUUUGUGGCAGCUACACCCGGAAGUGAGCAUACCAGCUCUGACGGA